GGCGAUGUAGCUCAGGUGGUUAGAGCGAGGGCCUCAUAAUCCCUAGGUCGGUGGUUCGAGUCCACCCAUCGCCACCA
RNAcentral lists this transfer RNA (77 nucleotides) under Myxococcales bacterium. RNAcentral describes it as "tRNA-Met". It matches the Rfam family "tRNA". Rfam says of the family: Transfer RNA (tRNA) molecules are approximately 80 nucleotides in length. Their secondary structure includes four short double-helical elements and three loops (D, anti-codon, and T loops). Lineage: Bacteria; Pseudomonadati; Myxococcota; Myxococcia; Myxococcales. The record is from RNAcentral. RNAcentral also lists the same sequence under 2 other names.